GCGGCCGCCACCUUAUCAUGGGAGAGACCUCGUAGACUCGCAGUGCAGAAUGUUACUCGAUAGGUGGGAAAUUGAAGCCGAACCACGCGGGGCCACAAAAGAAACCCGUCACUGUAGAUGACAAUCCUCCACCACAACCCAGAUGUCCUGCAAGCGCCGGCGGCGCGCGGUGAUGACGUCACGAGGUUUGCUUCAGAUCUGGUGGUCGCCCAUCUACCCCUUUCAGAAGGACCAGAGUUCAGUGGACUGGUGACACACAUCUGCUUGUAACUGCAGCUCUCGAGGAUCGAUGCCCUGUCUGACCUCUACACCACAGCCAUUUGUCCUGAGUGUCUUUGGGACCUGAAACCUGGAAAGGACAAUGGCAAAGAGUCGUGCUGCUUGUGAUAAGUUAUGCUGGAGGUCAGCCACCCGCAGCAAGCAGCCACAUGAUGGGAAGCGCUGUUGAGCCUUGGCCACCACUGUCCUGAUGUCCUUACAGCAUCUGGUGCUUUUACCUAUACUCAUCUCUGUUCUUAC
RNAcentral lists this long non-coding RNA (519 nucleotides) under Rattus norvegicus (Norway rat). RNAcentral describes it as "long non-coding RNA NONRATT005473". The record is from RNAcentral. Lineage: Eukaryota; Metazoa; Chordata; Mammalia; Rodentia; Muridae.